RNAcentral lists this transfer RNA (72 nucleotides) under bacterium. RNAcentral's name for it is "tRNA-Arg". It matches the Rfam family "tRNA". Rfam says of the family: Transfer RNA (tRNA) molecules are approximately 80 nucleotides in length. Their secondary structure includes four short double-helical elements and three loops (D, anti-codon, and T loops). The record is from RNAcentral.
GCCCUCAUAGUUUAACGGAUAGAACACGACCCUCCGAAGGUUGAAAUGGAAGUUCGAUUCUUCCUGGGGGCA